GGGACUAUAGUUAAUAAUAACAUUUGAGUUGCAUUCAAAAAGUACCGCAAACAGUGGUUAGCCUCG
RNAcentral lists this transfer RNA (66 nucleotides) under Odontotermes sp. C TB-2017. RNAcentral's name for it is "tRNA-Ala". Lineage: Eukaryota; Metazoa; Arthropoda; Insecta; Blattodea; Termitidae. The record is from RNAcentral.